UCUCUCAAUGCCGCUCCACCACAAUUAGGGUUCCUUCUUCUUUGUCUUUGAUCUCUUUGCUACUCCUCCAUGUAAAGAAAAAUGCGCCUUCAUAUGAAUAUUACUGUUUUUGAUUAUUCAAAACCUUAAAUUUGUCACCAAGCGCUUGCAACAUCUAUUUAGGUUGCACACAAGUUGCUCGAUAAAAUGCUUGAAUGAAGUUCUAUUCUCACAUUGGUUACAUUCAAGUGUAUGCCACCAUAAGGUAAAAUACUACCAAUUCUUACCUGAAUAAAAGCUUACCAACAGGUAAAUCAAUUUUUAUUUAUUUAUUACAAUAUCAUUUUUAUUCCUUUUCUCAUUAAGGGUCGCAACAGAUCAGGCAUGUGGAAAUUCAAUAGAAGGUGACACAUCAGUUUUAUCAGUUUAAAAAAUGAGGCCGUGAUGUCUUUAUUAUGUUGAUAUUUAAUUUUUUAUAUAACCAUUUAACGUGCACAAUAUUAAUGGUUUCAGGUUCAAUAUAGUACAAGAUGAAAGGUGUUGCAUUAGUUAGAUUAGUUAGACAAGUGAUUCCUUCUGAUAAUAGUUUCCUCUUUAAUGGAAAUGGCACUCAAGAAAUAUACGAGCAGAACAAAACGGCACCGAUGUUACUUUCUUCAGCUCAUUGAUGAUAUGCUAUAUUAAAUAAAACAUCAGUUUCCAAUUUUAUUGAUUUGUUACAGGUUUUGUAUGUAUCUUUACAUAGACAUGAAGGUGGAAAAUUUAUCCUGGUACUAGUGCAGUCCAUGAGUUUGGUUCCAUGGGUGGAGAAGGGUACUAUGUAAACGUUCCAUGGAGUCGGGGCGGAGUCAGAGAUAACGAUUAUAUUUUUGCAUUUGAGCAUAUCGUGCUUCCAAUAGCUCGUGAGUUUGCUCCUGAUUUUACAAUCAUUUCAGCUAGAUUUGAUGCUACAAGGGGUGAUCCACUUGGUUCUGUGCCCCUUUUGAUCUCUCAGAAAUUUGAUGGACCGACCCCAUCAUCUCCACCCCGUAGGAACUACGAGAUUACCCCAAGGACGCCUUCGGCAUCCAGGGGUUGCUCUGAGGACCAUCUUCGCGGAUAUGGUAUUAAUACACAUGACCACCUUCCUUGACAUGAAAUCGACCUAUAAUAGUGUCUGCGGAUAGUUUUAACCGAUCAUCUAUUGGAGAAACCGAUGUUCAUCCAUUGCUAACCUCUCUAAUGCAAUCUGUUCAGGUAACGAACAACCAUAAACGCUUUUCCCAUUCUGAGGUUCCAUUAUGGUGAUCUCGGUUUUAGAGUCCACUUCUCCAUUCACCGUGUCACUACCAAUCUCAGCCACCACCGUCGAAGAGUUUUAUACAAACCGGAAUUAAUCACUUGCUUUUAGUAAUGUGGCCCGUUGGUUACUCAAGCUUUUAGAAAGAGAUUUCAAAUGUAAUCAGACUUGAGGGUUUCCAUGGAGACCUCUUUAAAGUCGAAGGAAGCUUUAGUUCUCUGGUCUACAAAGAACAAGAGUUGUCAAAAGUUACGCUAAGGUCAUCCUGCCUGAAAAGGAUAACAAAAAGAAAAAUAUGAAUUUAGAUUUUGAAGACAAGGGUAUAAAGCGUCGAAAUGUUUAAGCAAGUUACCAAACUCCCGCAACCGAGGGAGCUUCUUGACAAGCAAAAGUUGGUCUUAUGAGACCUUGCCUAAGAGGGAUGCUACACGUUUUUUCUUGUGGUGAGAUUUGUGUUUUAGCUAUUUUUUUGUGCAUAAGAUAGUUCUUGAAUUUAAUGACCUAAUGGACACUUAUCAUAUAUUGAA
Long non-coding RNA from Helianthus annuus (common sunflower), 1785 nucleotides. RefSeq lists it as uncharacterized. The transcript has 9 exons. The record is from RefSeq and is a predicted model, not a curated record. Lineage: Eukaryota; Viridiplantae; Streptophyta; Magnoliopsida; Asterales; Asteraceae.